GAUUAAACCAGGAGGAAAACAGGUAGGGGUAGUAGCAAAUAUAUAUAUACAUAAA
RNAcentral lists this small RNA (55 nucleotides) under Prunus dulcis (almond). RNAcentral's name for it is "sRNA ncRNA". The record is from RNAcentral. Lineage: Eukaryota; Viridiplantae; Streptophyta; Magnoliopsida; Rosales; Rosaceae.